UGGUGGAGUGAUUUGUCUGGUUAAUUCCGUUAACGAACGAGACCUCAGCCUACUAAAUAGUUGUACCAAUUUUCUGCUUCGGCGGUGUGAUUGGUAAGAAUACUUCUUAGAGGGACUAUUGGUGUUUAACCAAUGGAAGUUUGAGGCAAUAACA
This 154-nucleotide ribosomal RNA is filed under the name uncultured eukaryote. Its description in RNAcentral is "partial 18S ribosomal RNA". It matches the Rfam family "Eukaryotic small subunit ribosomal RNA", at positions 1299 to 1458 of the family's 1831-position model. The record is from RNAcentral.